This 253-nucleotide ribosomal RNA is filed under the name uncultured bacterium. Its description in RNAcentral is "partial 16S ribosomal RNA". It matches the Rfam family "Bacterial small subunit ribosomal RNA", at positions 524 to 776 of the family's 1533-position model. The record is from RNAcentral.
UACAGAGGGUGCUAGCGUUGUUCGGAAUCAUUGGGCGUAAAGGGCGUGUAGGCGGUUUGUUAAGUCAUGUGUGAAAUCCCUCGGCUCAACCGGGGAACGACGCAUGAAACUGGCAAGCUAGAGUACCAAAGAGGGGGGUGGAAUUCCCGGUGUAGCGGUGAAAUGCGUAGAUAUCUGGAGGAACAUCAGUGGCGAAGGCGACACCCUGGACUCAUACUGACACUGAGGUGCGAAAGCGUGGGGAGCAAACAGG